AAGACUAUAUUUUUAGUGGUCAUUUUUAUAGUUUGUUAAAGAGAAGUUUCUCUGAUCAUACAGAGCACCAAAACCAUGAAAAGGACUCAGAGUAUUCUCUCCUGAGCAUGAAGCCGGAUCUAGGUGUUGACCGCUGAUGAUCAUGUUUCUGUUCUUUUGGAAGAGUGAUAGGGAGAGGAUAUAGUCUCAGUGG
This 193-nucleotide small nucleolar RNA is filed under the name Sorex araneus (European shrew). RNAcentral's name for it is "Small nucleolar RNA U3 (ENSSARG00000016532.1)". It matches the Rfam family "Small nucleolar RNA U3". From Rfam's summary of the family: Small nucleolar RNAs (snoRNAs) are involved in the processing and modification of rRNA in the nucleolus. Lineage: Eukaryota; Metazoa; Chordata; Mammalia; Eulipotyphla; Soricidae. The record is from RNAcentral.